GACGUAGGGCGCGAGCGUUGUCCGGAUUUAUUGGGCGUAAAGAGCUCGUAGGCGGCUUGUUGCGUCGACCGUGAAAACCCGGGGCUCAACUUCGGGCUUGCGGUCGAUACGGGCGGGCUAGAGUUCGGUAGGGGAGACUGGAAUUCCUGGUGUAGCGGUGAAAUGCGCAGAUAUCGGGAAGAACACCCGUGGCGAAGGCGGCUGCUCUGGGACGGUACUGACACUGAGACGCGAAAGCGUGGGGAGCGAACAGG
RNAcentral lists this ribosomal RNA (254 nucleotides) under uncultured bacterium. RNAcentral's name for it is "partial 16S ribosomal RNA". It matches the Rfam family "Bacterial small subunit ribosomal RNA", at positions 524 to 776 of the family's 1533-position model. The record is from RNAcentral.